Molecule: ribosomal RNA, 496 nt
Filed under: uncultured bacterium
Lineage: Bacteria
Description: partial 16S ribosomal RNA
Rfam family: Bacterial small subunit ribosomal RNA
Source: RNAcentral
AUGAACGCUGGCGGCGUGCCUAAUCCAUGCCCGUCGAGCGAACGGACGAGAAGCUUGCUUCUCUGAUGUUAGCGGCGGACGGGUGAGUAACACGUGGAUAACCUACCUAUAAGACUGGGAUAACUUCGGGAAACCGUAGCUAAUACCGGAUAAUAUUUUGAACCGCAUGGUUCAAAAGUGAAAGACGGUCUUGCUGUCACUUAUAGAUGGAUCCGCGCUGCAUUAGCUAGUUGGUAAGGUAACGGCUUACCAAGGCAACGAUGCAUAGCCGACCUGAGAGGGUGAUCGGCCACACUGGAACUGAGACACGGUCCAGACUCCUACGGGGGGCAGCAGUAGGGAAUCUUCCGCAAUGGGCGAAAGCCUGACGGAGCAACGCCGCGUGAGUGAUGAAGGUCUUCGGAUCGUAAAACUCUGUUAUUAGGGAAGAACAUAUGUGUAAGUAACUGUGCACAUCUUGACGGUACCUAAUCAGAAAGCCACGGCUAACUACGUG